This 70-nucleotide transfer RNA is filed under the name Loxodonta africana (African savanna elephant). It matches the Rfam family "tRNA". From Rfam's summary of the family: Transfer RNA (tRNA) molecules are approximately 80 nucleotides in length. Their secondary structure includes four short double-helical elements and three loops (D, anti-codon, and T loops). Lineage: Eukaryota; Metazoa; Chordata; Mammalia; Proboscidea; Elephantidae. The record is from Rfam by way of RNAcentral.
ACAUUAGUGGUUCAGUGGUAGAACUCUUGCCUUUCAUGCAGGAGACCCAGGUUCAGUUCUAACCAAUGCA